RNAcentral lists this ribosomal RNA (460 nucleotides) under uncultured bacterium. RNAcentral's name for it is "partial 16S ribosomal RNA". It matches the Rfam family "Bacterial small subunit ribosomal RNA", at positions 338 to 795 of the family's 1533-position model. The record is from RNAcentral.
CCUACGGGGUGCAGCAGUGAGGAAUAUUGGUCAAUGGACGAGAGUCUGAACCAGCCAAGUAGCGUGAAGGAUGACUGCCCUAUGGGUUGUAAACUUCUUUUAUAUGGGAAUAAAAUGUUCCACGUGUGGGAUUUUGUAUGUACCAUAUGAAUAAGGAUCGGCUAACUCCGUGCCAGCAGCCGCGGUAAUACGGAGGAUCCGAGCGUUAUCCGGAUUUAUUGGGUUUAAAGGGUGCGUAGGUGGAGUGUUAAGUCAGUUGUGAAAGUUUGUGGCUCAACCGUAAAAUUGCAGUUGAAACUGGCAGUCUUGAGUACAGUAGAGGUGGGCGGAAUUCGUGGUGUAGCGGUGAAAUGCUUAGAUAUCACGAAGAACUCCGAUUGCGAAGGCAGUUCACUGGACUGCAACUGACACUGAGGCUCGAAAGUGUGGGUAUCAAACAGGAUUAGAUACCCUGGUAGUC